ACUCAAUAGAUACCCAGGUAGUCCUAGCUGUAAACGGUGCACGUUUGGUGUGGGAGGCAACCCCUUCCGUGCCGAAAGCUAAACGCGAUAAACGUGCCGCCUGGGUAGUACGGUCGCAAGACUAAAACUCAAAGAAAUUGACGGGGACCCGCACAAGCGGUGGAGUAUGUGGCUUAAUUCGAUGCAACGCGAAGAACCUUACCAGGGCUUGACAUGUAUUGUAACCCCGGUGAAAGCCGGGCAGCAUGGAAACAUGCGCUUUACACAGGUGCUGCAUGGCUGUCGUCAGCUCGUGUCGUGAGAUGUUGGGUUAAGUCCCGCAACGAGCGCAACCCUUAUGAUUUGUUGCCACCGGUUCAUUCCGAGCACUCAAAUCAGACUGCCCAGAUUAACUGGGAGGAAGGUGGGGAUGACGUCAAGUCCGUAUGGCCCUUACGUCCUGGGCUGCGCACGUACUCAAUGUCCAGUACAAAUUGAACCGAUACCGCAAGGUGGAGGAAAUCAACAAAACUGGGCUCAGUUCAGAUUGCAGGCU
This 535-nucleotide ribosomal RNA is filed under the name uncultured bacterium. Its description in RNAcentral is "bacterial SSU rRNA". It matches the Rfam family "Bacterial small subunit ribosomal RNA", at positions 772 to 1306 of the family's 1533-position model. The record is from RNAcentral.